UUGUCCUGGCCUAUAUUUUUUUGCUUCUCUGUGCUCAGUUCUAACAAGGGGUUCUGGCGGGACACACAGCAAGCUCCCUCUCAGUUUAGGAGAGCCGUCCUAAGAAUGGGGCUGGCUCUUAAAGGCACGAGAGGACAAU
Manis pentadactyla (Chinese pangolin) is the source of this 139-nucleotide non-coding RNA. RefSeq annotates it as small Cajal body-specific RNA 11. The transcript has a single exon. Lineage: Eukaryota; Metazoa; Chordata; Mammalia; Pholidota; Manidae. The record is from RefSeq and is a predicted model, not a curated record.